Molecule: long non-coding RNA, 585 nt
Organism: Monodelphis domestica (gray short-tailed opossum)
Lineage: Eukaryota; Metazoa; Chordata; Mammalia; Didelphimorphia; Didelphidae
Source: RefSeq, a predicted model, not a curated record
GACUGUUUUAAGACCUUUUUGGGUUUUUAUGCUGACAGGUUUCUCUGCCAAGAUUCCAUCUUCUGAAAAUAUAAACCUGGUGCUCUGUGUGUGCUUGUGAGAAUGUUAGUUGUGUCCAAAGAUAGAGAACGAGGUGUUCUGCUUACUAUAGCUCCUCUGAUCUGGUUGAUAGAAUUUUCUGGAUUUCUGGUUCUAGGUUGUCACUGACCAUGAGGACUCUCUACCUGAUGUAUAUGGUGCUUUUUUUGGUAUUUCCCUAUGCUGUCAAAGGGAUGGUGAAACCUGAAAGCUAUGCUCAAUGUGAAUUGGAGGGUGGCCGUUGUUUCAUUCGUUGUCGAAGACCAUAUACAAAAUCUGGCUUCUGUGACAGUCCACGUGUUAAAUGCUGCAAACGUUAGCAAACAGAGACAGAAAAGAAGAGUGUGUCCAGACUCUGUGGUAUAAACGAGUGAGAGUAUUAAAUAGGAGAGAAGUUUAAAUGCAUGGAAUAUGCUAUGCUUAUAUUAAUAAAGGAAAAUUCAUUUGGAAACUUGGUUUUCUAAUGCAUAAAUGAAUGUUGGGUGUGACUUUUUUCAUUUUAAGACA